This is a non-coding RNA of Picea glauca (white spruce), 121 nucleotides long. The record is from Rfam. NCBI's taxonomy places the organism in Eukaryota, Viridiplantae, Streptophyta, Pinopsida, Pinales, Pinaceae.
GUAUAUGCUUAUAGCAUAGUAUUAAUGCAUUUGAUCCCAUUAGAACUCCACAGUUAAGCGUGCUCAGUCUAGAGUAGUAUUGGGGUGGGUGAUCACUUGGGAAGUCAUAGUGUUUUACAUG